GACGAACGCUGGCGGCGUGCCUAAUACAUGCAAGUUGAGCGCUGAAGGUUGGUACUUGUACCAACUGGAUGAGCAGCGAACGGGUGAGUAACGCGUGGGGAAUCUGCCUUUGAGCGGGGGACAACAUUUGGAAACGAAUGCUAAUACCGCAUAAAAACUUUAAACACAAGUUUUAAGUUUGAAAGAUGCAAUUGCAUCACUCAAAGAUGAUCCCGCGUUGUAUUAGCUAGUUGGUGAGGUAAAGGCUCACCAAGGCGAUGAUACAUAGCCGACCUGAGAGGGUGAUCGGCCACAGUGGGACUGAGACACGGCCCAAACUCCUACGGGAGGCAGCAGUAGGGAAUCUUCGGCAAUGGACGAAAGUCUGACCGAGCAACGCCGCGUGAGUGAAGAAGGUUUUCGGAUCGUAAAACUCUGCUGGUAGAGAAGAACGUUGGUGAGAGUGGAAAGCUCAUCAAGUGACGGUAACUACCCAGAAGGGGACGGCUAACUACGUG
Molecule: ribosomal RNA, 497 nt
Filed under: uncultured bacterium
Lineage: Bacteria
Description: partial 16S ribosomal RNA
Rfam family: Bacterial small subunit ribosomal RNA
Source: RNAcentral